GACGAACGCUGGCGGCGUGCCUAAUACAUGCAAGUCGAACGAGAGCGACCGGUGCUUGCACUGGUCAAUCUAGUGGCGAACGGGUGAGUAACACGUGGGUAACCUGCCCAUCAGAGGGGGAUAACAUCCGGAAACGGAUGCUAAAACCGCAUAGGUCUUCGAGCCGCAUGGCUCGAAGAGGAAAAGAGGCGCAAGCGUCUGCUGAUGGAUGGACCCGCGGUGCAUUAGCUAGUUGGAGAGGUAACGGCUCACCAAGGCCGUGAUGCAUAGCCGACCUGAGAGGGUGAUCGGCCACAUUGGAACUGAGACACGGCCCAGACUCCUACGGGAGGCAGCAGUAGGGAAUCUUCCGCAAUGGACGCAAGUCUGACGGAGCAACGCCGCGUGAGUGAAGAAGGUUUUCGGAUCGUAAAACUCUGUUGUUAGGGAAGAACAAGUGCUAGAGUAACUGUUAGCGCCUUGACGGUAUCUAACCAGAAAGCCACGGCUAACUACGUG
This 498-nucleotide ribosomal RNA is filed under the name uncultured bacterium. RNAcentral describes it as "partial 16S ribosomal RNA". It matches the Rfam family "Bacterial small subunit ribosomal RNA", at positions 28 to 507 of the family's 1533-position model. The record is from RNAcentral.